RNAcentral lists this ribosomal RNA (500 nucleotides) under uncultured bacterium. RNAcentral describes it as "partial 16S ribosomal RNA". It matches the Rfam family "Bacterial small subunit ribosomal RNA", at positions 28 to 507 of the family's 1533-position model. The record is from RNAcentral.
GACGAACGCUGGCGGCGUGCCUAAUACAUGCAAGUCGUGCGGACCUUGUUGAAAGCUUGCUUUUAAAAGGUUAGCGGCGGACGGGUGAGUAACACGUGGGCAACCUGCCUGUAAGACUGGGAUAACGCCGGGAAACCGGGGCUAAUACCAGAUCGUUUUUUCCUCCGCAUGGAGGAAAAAGGAAAGGCGGCUUCGGCUGCCACUUACAGAUGGGCCCGCGGCGCAUUAGCUAGUUGGCGGGGUAAUGGCCCACCAAGGCAACGAUGCGUAGCCGACCUGAGAGGGUGAUCGGCCACAUUGGGACUGAGACACGGCCCAAACUCCUACGGGAGGCAGCAGUAGGGAAUCUUCCGCAAUCGACGAAAGUCUGACGGAGCAACGCCGCGUGAGUGAAGAAGGCCUUCGGGUCGUAAAACUCUGUUGCCGGGGAAGAACAAGUGCCGUUCGAACAGGGCGGCGCCUUGACGGUACCCGGCCAGAAAGCCACGGCUAACUACGUG